AAGUCGUAACAAGGUUACCUUCUGCAGCUAAGCACGGAGACCUUGCACCGGACUAUAAACAGUGCAAGUUGGUUCUCGGACCAGCAACACAAUCGAAUUGCGGGAACGUCUUAAAGCCUGUAGCACCUCCCGUUAGUGAAAGCUGACGGUACGGUAAGAGCCUACGGGAUAUACAAUAGACUAUCCGCAGCGAAGACCCUAAAGCCUCGGCCACGGGUAUCGUUCACAGACUAGGUGAUUGUGGGAGGGUUACCCUUCUAAGAUAUAGUCGG
Molecule: unclassified non-coding RNA, 272 nt
Filed under: Helotiales sp.
Lineage: Eukaryota; Fungi; Ascomycota; Leotiomycetes; Helotiales
Description: partial contains internal transcribed spacer 1
Source: RNAcentral